UCGAAACCUGCCACGAGCAGACCGCGAACACGUUCACGCCGCCCGGGGCUCCCGACGGUCGGGCGCGCGCUGCGCCUCCCGUCGGAGCCCCGCCCCCCUGCCCCGUCCGCGCGCGAGCAUCGCGCCCGGCGGUCCAACAAACCCACGGCGCGGAAUGCGCCAAGGAUCACAACGGCGGAGCGCCGACCCCGUCAGGCACCCGUCCGCGGCGUGCCGUGCGGGGGGACGUGCGUCUCCCGAGAUUGAAUACCGGAAAAAC
This 259-nucleotide unclassified non-coding RNA is filed under the name Pinguicula alpina. RNAcentral describes it as "ITS1". Lineage: Eukaryota; Viridiplantae; Streptophyta; Magnoliopsida; Lamiales; Lentibulariaceae. The record is from RNAcentral.